This is a long non-coding RNA of Solenopsis invicta (red fire ant), 1457 nucleotides long. RefSeq lists it as uncharacterized. The transcript is spliced from 12 exons. NCBI's taxonomy places the organism in Eukaryota, Metazoa, Arthropoda, Insecta, Hymenoptera, Formicidae. The record is from RefSeq and is a predicted model, not a curated record.
AUUUAUUGAGUAAUAUAUAUUUUUUUAAUUUAUUUUAUAAUUUAUUAUACAUAAAUGUUGAAAAUCAUAACGAAUAAUUAUCAAAACCCACAAGUAUCAUUUGCAUAAUAUUUACUAAUUAUUAAUUUAAUGUUCAAAUAGAAAAAUAGCAAUUAACAAAUACGGUUAUUUUAUUCUUUAGUUUGCAAAUCUGAAGUGAAACAGCAUUUUGAGGUAUAUAAAAACAUUCAAAUGCUGGCAUUUUUAAUACUUCACAAACAAAAUAAUAUAUGUUAAUAAAAUAUUUCUUGAUAAACUUAGAAUUUUCUAUUUAUUUACUAGGUUUGCUAAAUGUCUGGUAAUUAAAUCAAUUUGCGAAGGCUAGAUAAUUUUUAUUUAUUGCUAUAAUUUUUUUAAAUUGUUAUUAAAUGAUGUCAUAAUAUAAAAAGUAUAAUAAUGAUGAUAAUUAUUCACCAAGAUCUAUGAAUGCCAUGAUUUGUAGAGUAUUUGCUAACUGAUUAUCAUUUAUAUUAAUUUGAAAUUCAAAUAAAAAAGUAUUAGUUUUAAUAUUAUAUAAUUAUUUCAUUAUUUAGGUUUGAAAUCUUCAGUUAAAUGACGUCUUGAGAUUGCAUAUAUGAAGGUUUGCUAAAUCCUUGGAAAUCGUAAUCAAACGACAAAGAUCAUAGGUCGUUUGAAAUCUUCAGUUGAAUGACGUCUUGAGAUUGUGUAUAUGAAGGUUUGCUAAAUCCUUGGGAGUUGUAAUCAAACGACAAAGAUCAUAGGUUGUUUGAAAUCUUCAGUUAAAUGAUGACAUCUUGAGAUUGUAUAUAUGAAGGUUUGCUAAAUUCUUGGGAAAUUAUGAUCAAUCGACAAAGAUCGUAGAUUACUUGGAAAUCUUCAAUGAAACAGCGUCUUGAGAUUGUACAUGUUUACUACAUCCAGGGAAAUUAAUUGAACGAUGAUAGUUAUACAGAUUGCUUGCAGAUCUUAAGUGAAACAGCAUCUUGAAAUUUUGUGAAGGUUUGCUGAAUCCAGGGAAACUAAUCGAACGCUCAAUUAUACAGAUUGCCUGCAAAGUUGAAAUACAACAUCUUGAAAUUGUGUAAAGCGAUUCUAGAUGUUUCUCGAGAUUUACGAACUGGUUGAUGUAUGGCAUCCAUCUUUAUCUACCCUCGUCCAAGGAUUGCAACAAAAAGAAAUAAGACAUUGCGGUGUUCACAAUCUAACAAUGAAGACAAUGAAUUAGUCAUUUAAAGUAGUUAGUAUAAGAUGCUGAUUAAAUAAACAAUAUGUAAUUCUAUGUAAAGUCAUUUUAAUUAUUUUAAAAUUAGCUUUUUAAUCUCAGAAUUUGCUUAAAAUUUUAAAACUCCUUAUUUUUUCAUCUUUCAAAUUUAUGUUAAUAAUUGUAUACCUGCAUGAAUGAAAGCAAAAUUUCACUAAAAUUUGAUUGAAUAAUAAAAGCUAAAAGAUUCGCACGG